AUCCCUCACUUACGGCCUUUUGACUAAGAUCAAGUGUAAGUUCUUAUGAGUUUAAUAUCUGAUACUUCUCUUAUACCAUAUAGUACAUAGAUUUUUUUUUUUUUUUAGGACGUGGGCCGAUGGGAGGCUUGUUUCCGUCGCCCCAUUCCUUGACCCACUAUAGUGGUAUUUUCGGGUACAGUAGACAGGGUACUGAUA
Hyla sarda is the source of this 198-nucleotide small nuclear RNA. RefSeq annotates it as U2 spliceosomal RNA. The transcript has a single exon. NCBI's taxonomy places the organism in Eukaryota, Metazoa, Chordata, Amphibia, Anura, Hylidae. The record is from RefSeq and is a predicted model, not a curated record.